This 268-nucleotide ribosomal RNA is filed under the name Hominimerdicola alba 8. RNAcentral's name for it is "Ruminococcus albus 8 partial 16S ribosomal RNA". It matches the Rfam family "Bacterial small subunit ribosomal RNA", at positions 262 to 547 of the family's 1533-position model. Lineage: Bacteria; Bacillati; Bacillota; Clostridia; Eubacteriales; Oscillospiraceae. The record is from RNAcentral.
GGCCCACCAAGCCGACGAUCAGUAGCCGGACUGAGAGGUUGAACGGCCACAUUGGGACUGAGACACGGCCCAGACUCCUACGGGAGGCAGCAGUGGGGAAUAUUGCACAAUGGGCGAAAGCCUGAUGCAGCGAUGCCGCGUGAGGGAAGAAGGUUUUAGGAUUGUAAACCUCUGUCUUCGGGGACGAUAAUGACGGUACCCGAGGAGGAAGCUCCGGCUAACUACGUGCCAGCAGCCGCGGUAAUACGUAGGGAGCGAGCGUUGUCCG